AACAGACUCCUACGGGAGGCAGCAGUGGGGAAUAUUGGGCAAUGGGCGCAAGCCUGACCCAGCAACGCCGCGUGAAGGAAGAAGGCUUUCGGGUUGUAAACUUCUUUUGUCAGGGACGAAGCAAGUGACGGUACCUGACGAAUAAGCCACGGCUAACUACGUGCCAGCAGCCGCGGUCAUACGUAGGUGGCAAGCGUUAUCCGGAUUUACUGGGUGUAAAGGGCGUGUAGGCGGGACUGCAAGUCAGAUGGGAAAACCACGGGCUCAACCUGUGGCCUGCAUUUGAAACUGUAGUUCUUGAGUACUGGAGAGGCAGACGGAAUUCCUAGUGUAGCGGUGAAAUGCGUAGAUAUUAGGAGGAACACCAGUGGCGAAGGCGGUCUGCUGGACAGCAACUGACGCUGAGGCGCGAAAGCGUGGGUAGCAAACAGGAUUAGAUACCCUAGUACU
Molecule: ribosomal RNA, 450 nt
Filed under: uncultured bacterium
Lineage: Bacteria
Description: partial 16S ribosomal RNA
Rfam family: Bacterial small subunit ribosomal RNA
Source: RNAcentral